GACGAACGCUGGCGGCGUGCCUAACACAUGCAAGUCGAGCGGGGUUGAGGCGAGAGGUAACUCGAGCUUCUACCUAGCGGCGGACGGGUGAGUAACGCGUGGGCAACCUGCCUCAAGGUUUGGGAUAACAGCCCGAAAGGGCUGCUAAUACCGGAUAUGCCUAUGGCUUCGCAUGGGGCUAUGAGCAAAGGGGAAACCCGCCUUGAGAUGGGCCCGCGUCCCAUCAGCUAGUUGGUGAGGUAACAGCUCACCAAGGCGACGACGGGUAGCCGGCCUGAGAGGGUGACCGGCCACACUGGGACUGAGACACGGCCCAGACUCCUACGGGGGGCAGCAGUGGGGGAUCUUGCACAAUGGGCGAAAGCCUGAUGCAGCGACGCCGCGUGAGCGAAGAAGGCCUUCGGGUUGUAAAGCUCUGUCUGGAGGGACGAACAAAAUGACGGUACCUCCGGAGGAAGCCACGGCUAACUACGUG
Molecule: ribosomal RNA, 475 nt
Filed under: uncultured bacterium
Lineage: Bacteria
Description: bacterial SSU rRNA
Rfam family: Bacterial small subunit ribosomal RNA
Source: RNAcentral